AGGCACUGCUCACUCAGUAAUGCAGCUUCACAUACAGCUUGGGCAGCACGUACGAAUCAAAGACACUGGCUUCAGAGAUGUCCCGCACCGCGGCGGCCUCCAUGAUGUUCCGGAUGAUGAACUUCUUGAUGGCCUUGUCCUUGGGGACGCAGAGGGCGCAGUUGGUGCAGCGGAUGGGCUGGACGUGCCCCCGGCCCUUCUUGGUGUGCUCGUUGUUCCGCCUCUUCUUGGUCAUCUUGGAACAGACGAGGCGGAA
Non-coding RNA from Chelonoidis abingdonii (Abingdon island giant tortoise), 256 nucleotides. The record is from RefSeq and is a predicted model, not a curated record. NCBI's taxonomy places the organism in Eukaryota, Metazoa, Chordata, Testudines, Testudinidae.